UGAACCCGAGAACUGAAGGCGGUUGUCGUCGGUACCAAUCCAUGUGUUAUGAAAGCAAAGAAUCUUUUUUUAUUAUUAUGUACCGUGUGCGAGAAGAACCCACUGACAAUGUUCUCCGGCUGAGAACCGCGCUCUUCCCACGCGUGUCCUACAACAAGGACUCGGUUCGGGAUCCGGGAAUUGUCAUGGAGUCUGUUCUAACAUUCAGCGGUCUAGAGACCUGAUCACAAGCAGUGAAAACAGGCUGAAGAGUUCUCCAUCGUCCAGAGCUUUAGAUUUUUCAUUAAUAAGCAAUGAAGGGACGAGCUCUUUUCAUUGUGAACCUCACCUCAUCUCUAAUGUCCUAAUAGCUUACUUCCUUUCUCCACAGUCGGUCAAGAAAAACAGACUCCCGGCGACCCAGGCGUCGCUUCCUCCAGAGCAAGAGCAGAAGCACGCAUCUUUCCUCCCGCACCGCUGGAAGAGCCGGCCUGUGAUCCACCUCCUUCACGGCCGCCGGACAAGCUGCUUCUGGAGGCUCCCAGUCCCUCUUACACGCGCAGGGGCGGGCCCGGUGCUCGACAUUGUCUCAGCUUGAUCCGAGCGCUCGGUGCGGAGCCGCCGGCGAGAUCUUCUCGUCAAUGAACAACUUUCACCUCAGGAACGGCUUCUCGCCAGCCCGAAGAAAGAUGGGGCCUGGAAACGGACACAUAUACUUUCAGUUUCGACGCUUCUGUGACCGCUGUGUCUGCAGGUGAGAAAUCGUUAGCUCAUGAACUGGCUCAUGAAACCAGUUGACAAAUGUAAACAGAAUGCAGAAGGAGGGGUCAGGGUCAGUCUCAAUAGAAAGAAGAGCUAAAACUAUGGAACAACAACUCUUUCUCCUCCUCUUGCCCAUUGUAGGACAGUCAGCUUUACGGUUUCCUCUUUCCGCUCUUGAGCGUGGAAUUAACCUCCGCUCGUUCCUUCGCGUCUCGGGGUCUCACUGCCGAGGCCACAGCGGCUGGAGUGGGAGGGGCGGGCGUGCGAGUCCAGAGCAGAGUGCAGGCUUGCUGGGACAAGAGCUCGGGGCUCAACGGGACGGCCGGGGU
Lepisosteus oculatus (spotted gar) is the source of this 1070-nucleotide non-coding RNA. NCBI's taxonomy places the organism in Eukaryota, Metazoa, Chordata, Actinopteri, Semionotiformes, Lepisosteidae. The record is from RefSeq and is a predicted model, not a curated record.